UAACUGAAUAACUAUUAGUUUUGAUUGCAUAAAUAAGAACACGUAGUUACAUGGUUCAAAUAGUUUUACAGAGAAUCAUCUAAAAUCCCUAAUCUGAUGAGAUUAGUUACUCAUAAUAAUAAUUGACAUAACAAUUAAAUAAUAAUAAAUCAAUGAUAAAGCACCUUGAAAUAAGACUAAGAAUUCUUCUCUCCUUUUGGUCAAAGCCGUAAUCCUUUUUUCUUCCCCUGAUGCCUCUGCGUGAAAAAAUACAAGGACUGCUCGCAUCAUGCUGACGUCAUGCUCUGGAGAGAGUGGCAAAUCGUGCCGCGACGGGAGUUGGAUAAGGACGCGAAAAAUCCAGUGGCCACAUGCAUACAAUUGAUUCAAAAACUUCCAAAUUUUUAAAUAUUUUUCUUCUUGGUCUUCAAAAUUCUUGCUAUGUCAAUUUCUUCAAAUAUUCUUCUCUUUGACCAUGUAAAACUCCUUAAAACUAACUAAAAAACAUUAAAAUAACAAUUAAAAAUAACAAAUGACCGAAUGUCAUCAG
RNAcentral lists this long non-coding RNA (529 nucleotides) under Trifolium pratense (red clover). RNAcentral's name for it is "long non-coding RNA (TPRA_LNC011104)". Lineage: Eukaryota; Viridiplantae; Streptophyta; Magnoliopsida; Fabales; Fabaceae. The record is from RNAcentral.